CGACGCCGGCUACGGCUACGGCGGCGGGUACGCGCCCACGCCGGCCACCCCGACGCCCAAGCCGGAGAAGCCACCCAAGGUCGGCAAGCCGCCCAAGGAGCACGGCCCCAGCCUUGAGAAGCCACCCAAGGCCACAAGCCGCCCAAGGAGCACGGGCCCAAGCCGGAGAAGCCGCCCAAGGGGAACAAGCCUCCCACCUUCACCCCGUCGCCGAAGCCGGCGCCGCCGACGCCCAAGCCGACUCCUCCGACGUACACACCGUCGCCGAAGCCGACGCCACUGACGCCGAAGCCUACUCCACCCACAUACACGCCGACGCCGAAGCCCACGCCGCCGACGUACACUCCGUCGCCGAAGCCUACCCCACCGACGUACACUCCCACGCCAAAACCCACUCCUCCGACGUACACCCCGUCACCCAAGCCACCGGUGACCAAGCCG
This 441-nucleotide long non-coding RNA is filed under the name Setaria italica (foxtail millet). RNAcentral's name for it is "long non-coding RNA (SITA_LNC005241)". The record is from RNAcentral. Lineage: Eukaryota; Viridiplantae; Streptophyta; Magnoliopsida; Poales; Poaceae.